This 497-nucleotide ribosomal RNA is filed under the name uncultured bacterium. RNAcentral describes it as "partial 16S ribosomal RNA". It matches the Rfam family "Bacterial small subunit ribosomal RNA", at positions 28 to 507 of the family's 1533-position model. The record is from RNAcentral.
GAUGAACGCUGGCGGCGUGCCUAAUACAUGCAAGUCGAGCGAACGGACGAGAAGCUUGCUUCUCUGAUGUUAGCGGCGGACGGGUGAGUAGCACGUGGAUAACCUACCUAUAAGACUGGGAUAACUUCGGGAAACCGGAGCUAAUACCGGAUAAUAUUUUGAACCGCAUGGUUCAAAAGUGAAAGACGGUCUUGCUGUCACUUAUAGAUGGAUCCGCGCUGCAUUAGCUAGUUGGUAAGGUAACGGCUUACCAAGGCAACGAUGCAUAGCCGACCUGAGAGGGUGAUCGGCCACACUGGAACUGAGACACGGUCCAGACUCCUACGGGAGGCAGCAGUAGGGAAUCUUCCGCAAUGGGCGAAAGCCUGACGGAGCAACGCCGCGUGAGUGGUGAAGGUCUUCGGAUCGUAAAACUCUGUUAUUAGGGAAGAACAUAUGUGUAAGUAACUGUGCACAUCUUGACGGUACCUAAUCAGAAAGCCACGGCUAACUACGUG